AUGAACGCUGGCGGCGUGCCUAAUACAUGCAAGUCGAGCGAACAGACGAGGAGCUUGCUCCUCUGACGUUAGCGGCGGACGGGUGAGUAACACGUGGAUAACCUACCUAUAAGACUGGGAUAACUUCGGGAAACCGGAGCUAAUACCGGAUAAUAUAUUGAACCGCAUGGUUCAAUAGUGAAAGACGGUUUUGCUGUCACUUAUAGAUGGAUCCGCGCCGCAUUAGCUAGUUGGUAAGGUAACGGCUUACCAAGGCAACGAUGCGUAGCCGACCUGAGAGGGUGGUCGCCCACACGGGACCUGAGACAGGGCCAGGCCUCAACGGGGAGGAGGAAGGAGGCAUUCUUCCGAAAGGGCGAAAGGCCGGAGGAAGCAGGCCGGCGGGGGGAAGAAGGGUUUAGGUUUCUAAAACUUUUUUUAUGGGGAAAAAAAAAAGUGGAAGUAAAGAAUGCCCUUCUUGCGGUACCCUAAUAAAAACGCCACGACAACCUCCGCC
RNAcentral lists this ribosomal RNA (496 nucleotides) under uncultured bacterium. Its description in RNAcentral is "partial 16S ribosomal RNA". It matches the Rfam family "Bacterial small subunit ribosomal RNA", at positions 29 to 507 of the family's 1533-position model. The record is from RNAcentral.